Theobroma umbraticum is the source of this 3035-nucleotide long non-coding RNA. RefSeq lists it as uncharacterized. The record is from RefSeq and is a predicted model, not a curated record. NCBI's taxonomy places the organism in Eukaryota, Viridiplantae, Streptophyta, Magnoliopsida, Malvales, Malvaceae.
AGUCAUUAUCACGCAACAGAAAUGGAGUUGAAAUUCCAUCCACCUUGCUGCAGCUACGUCGUUUCUGAUCCAAGAAAAGCCACAACCGUUGAUAAUCAUCAAUAAAAGAGUAACAAUGCUCAACUAAAUUCCAUUAUUUCUUAAAUUAUUCAGUAAAUUUUCAGUUACGCUGGAUCUUUUGGUUUAAAUAAUCAUUUUCUUUUUUCAUUUAUUGUUUCCGUUUGGUUUCCAAAAAAAUGCAGGAAAAAAAUGGAUGUAACAUUGUGAAUUCUUUUGUUCUAGUAAAUCGUAAUCUAGCUAUUUUUUUUAAGGCUAUCUGGAUUCGAUCUACUUUUGCUUUGGUUUAAGUUCGAUCUGACUUGAUUGGCAAUUGACUAAGAUUGUUUUAUCUGGCUAAUCAAUCUUUCUGAAUGGAGAUCUUUCUACCUAUAUUGAGGAUGCAUUAAUUAUUUUCUAAAGUUUGCUUGCAAGUUGCAAUGUUCCCCUUUGAUCAUAGUAUAUUGUUUAUAUACCUACAAAUAGCUUCACUAUCUCAACAUCUACCUGAGAAUUUGAUCCAAAGUAGCAAAUUCGAUCUUUUAGGUGUUAAAAAAUAGCUAGUUUAAGUGUGCGUGCUUACUUGUUUGGAACGUUUCCUGUUUGCGCUUAGUUAUCCAUAUUUAUCAAUGCUUUGGUUUGCUUGACAAAGGCAGAGCUAUGAAUUCACGAUGUUGAGUCUGUUAGGUUGAUUUCCAGCUUGAAGAAAAGGGCUUAGUUGCCUUAGAACGAGUUGAAUCUAUUUCCUUUAAUGGCGUAGUGGAAUGCACAUGUUCUCGGCGCUGAUUUAAACUUUUCUGACCUUGAAAUUACAGGUCUUAUGCAUUCAUAACCUUGAGCUUUCAUGAGAGUUUCUGUUGUUUAAUGCUAGUUGAACUUUUCUGAAACAAAAAUUUCAUGUCUUGUGCGUGCAUGGCCUUUGCCUUUUGUGAUAUGGUUUAAAUGUUUAAGUUGUUUAAACUGACUUAACUUUUUCUGGAACAGAAAUCGCACACCUUGUGCAUGCAUAGCCUUUACUUUCAUGAUAUUGAUGAAUAAUACCGAUCCACUUUCCUGGCAAUAAACUGCAUUUUUUGUGCUUUUGGAUCAAUAAGAAUAAACCAGACGUCUUGUGCAUGCAUGUCCUGUAUUUCCGCUCUCUGGCUAGUUGUAUCUCUUAUGCUUACGGAUUGUUGCUGUGUUGUACCCUAUAUAUGAUGGAUUCUUGAGGUCCGCAGAACAUAAUAGACUCUCUGAAUGUUUAUCUAUAAAUUGCUCUUUUACUUUUACUGAUGAUGGAAUAUAUAGGGUUAAUGCAUGAUACAUUUUUCCAUUUUCGCAUAUGGUCAUUGCUGUCUCUUGCUGGCUGAAUAAGUGAUCAUUUUACUUGUUUGAUUUCAAUUUGUUGUUAACUUGUAACCUGCCCUUUGAAAUCAAAUAUGUUGACAACUUGUCAUUCUUCCCUGUUGCUCCUGGGUCUUUUCUUUCACUAUUUAUUGGAGUUGCUUUACCUAUUGCAGAUCCUGAUCUUUUGUUUGCUUAUGCUUGAAAGAUGUUAAAAAUUUUCAAUUCUCCUUUAACUAUAACUCUGUCAAGCUGAGAUCUAAUGACUACAUGAUUUAAUCUGACAUUUUCCUAAAAUUGAAGGUGCUUUAUUUUGUGUGUGAAUUCAAGACUCUCUCGACCUUUGUGCCUUGAUCCAUUGCUGCGUACUGAUCUUUCUAUCGCCUAUCCAUUCAGUAAUAACAUAUUCACCCUGUUGGUUUGUUAACCCUUCAUUCUGUUGUGUUUAUUAUGUUAUCGGAAUCAACAAAAAGGGUAGUAGUGCUUAAAUAUCUCUCCUCUUAAAAUGUUUAAAUGCCUACCAAUUGCUCACUGCAAGUAUUGGGCUCAAGGUUCUAUAAUGACAAGCGAUUAUUAAUUGAAGACUACAAUUCAUUAUUAAUAUGUGAUUUUAGAUGAGGUGCAUGUUAAACCUAUAUGUGUGCAGCAUGCCUAUUAAAUUUUACAUGUGCACUAUUCGACUAAAUUUGAAACUAAUCACUCCAUAUUCAAUCUCCUGCUUCUGCUUAUAAUUUAUUUCUUUAUUUGUUAUCAAUUUGAAUGCAUUGUACGGAUAAGAUAGAAGAAACUAUAAAGUCAAGUUGAUAACGUGUGUGGCAUGUAGGCAAGGAAAAUAACAUGGAUGAAAAGGGCCACAAGACCCAAGAAUUUGCUUCAGCCCUGCAUGCUGUGUAUUGUUAUGACAGAAGCAAGGUUAUGGCUUCUCUACCAGGGACAUUCUGUACCGUAGAGAACAACAGUAAUGCAUGUCUGAGGCAUAGCAACAGACGUGCAGUCAUGUAGCUGUUCUGACCUCAACAGCCAGACUUAGAAUCCAUGUUGGGUGACUGCUGCAAUGAACUGCAAAACCUUCUUCUAUUGUAGGCUGUAGUGGCUGAUCACUGAACAGCAAUAGCAUCCCACCACACUGGAAAACCUUGUGGUCAGCUCCUCCAGAGGGCACCAGGAAAUGCUGCAGGGUCGUUGCUAAGGCUGGGCCAAUAAAAGUUUGCGCGUUAUAUACCUGUCUGCUUAACGGGCCUUCACAACGAAUUGAAUUGAUCUAACUGGGCCAGCCAGGUCAAAUUUGAGCUUUCGGGCCAUACCAAAAACACUAGUCCAAUCAGGUCUUAACUUUGAACCGAAGGAUAUGUGACGGUGAGUUUUUGGACCAUUUUUCUACAUAAUGAACAACGGAUUCGUGGGUUACGACUGGUCAUCUAUGAUCUCAGGUGAAAAAUCUUGAUUUUUGAGGUAAUAACUAAUCUUUUUACAUAAGUAAUUAAUGUGAAGAGAAAAAAAAAGGUUAAAAUAUAUUAUAUAAUAUAUAUAUUAUUUUCAAUUUUCUGCUCUCUCAUGAGACAUUCUGUAAAAGAGGUAAGUGGAAUAUUCGAAUUAUUUCAUUUACAAAUUGUUUGGCUCUUUGUGGUAGUAUUAGUUUUUUUUGUAUGACGUUAGCUUCUAACCAAUUCCUUGUC